Molecule: non-coding RNA, 534 nt
Organism: Ceratotherium simum simum (southern white rhinoceros)
Lineage: Eukaryota; Metazoa; Chordata; Mammalia; Perissodactyla; Rhinocerotidae
Source: the annotation of a RefSeq genome assembly
AUGGGAUCCCGGCUCCUGUGCUGUGCAGCCCUUUGUCUCCUGGGAGCCGGACCUAUGGAUUCUGGAGUCAUUCAAAUACCAAGACAACUGACUAAAGCAAGAGGACAGCAAGCGACACUGAGUUGUUCCCCUAGCUCUGAGCACGACACUGUAUCUUGGUACAAACAGGCCCUGGGCCAGGGCCCCCAGUUCCUCGUUCAGUAUUACAAUGAGGAGGAGAGACAGAAAGGAGACAUCUCAGGUCGAUUCUUAGGGCGACAGUUCCCUGACCGAAGCUCUGAGUUGAACGUGAGCGUCUUGGAGCUGACAGACUCGGCCCUGUAUCUCUGUGCCAGCAGCUUGGCACAGCCCUGUGUGAUCAGCAGCCUUCAGCACAAAAACAUUCUUGCCCCAGCUCAGGAAGUGACAGCGAGGGUGGCGGCUGCCAGUCAGACAGGCUCAGGCCCUCAUGUAUCAGACAGGCCUUUCCCAGACACUCUUCCUGCUGCUUCUGUAUGCGAUGUGUUUUAUGCUCACAGAAAUCAUGAAAAAUAA